Pelobates cultripes (western spadefoot toad) is the source of this 229-nucleotide non-coding RNA. The record is from the annotation of a GenBank genome assembly. NCBI's taxonomy places the organism in Eukaryota, Metazoa, Chordata, Amphibia, Anura, Pelobatidae.
GGGGAGCGAGAUGAUGUAGGACACCGGGCUGCGUCCUCGUGGUGAGCGGCUGAAGGAGCGACCGGGGUGUGUAAGGAGACAGGAGCAGCGGGGACCAGCGCUCAUAAAGAUCCCCCAGUGAGAAGUGCGAGGGGAACUCUGGUGACGGACGGACUGAAUUUACCGGCAGUGCUGCUCCGUGGAUAGGCGAGUGUGGCUGGAGGAGACGGAGCUGCAGGCAGUAGACGGG